ACGACUGUCGUCCAGCAGCCAGGACCGCGGAUUCCAAAUCCGCUGACGCAGGUGCGAGUCCUGCCGGUCGUGCCA
This 75-nucleotide transfer RNA is filed under the name Planctomycetota bacterium. Its description in RNAcentral is "Planctomycetes bacterium (soil metagenome) tRNA-Trp". It matches the Rfam family "tRNA". From Rfam's summary of the family: Transfer RNA (tRNA) molecules are approximately 80 nucleotides in length. Their secondary structure includes four short double-helical elements and three loops (D, anti-codon, and T loops). Lineage: Bacteria; Pseudomonadati; Planctomycetota. The record is from RNAcentral.